RNAcentral lists this ribosomal RNA (819 nucleotides) under Triticum aestivum (bread wheat). RNAcentral's name for it is "partial small subunit ribosomal RNA". The record is from RNAcentral. Lineage: Eukaryota; Viridiplantae; Streptophyta; Magnoliopsida; Poales; Poaceae.
AUGCAUGCAAACCCGGUAUGGGAUAUUUUGUGGAAGUUACAAAUUCCAAGCAAGGUGAAAAUUUUCGCCUGGCGUGCUUUACAUGGUAUUGUCCCAGGGAUGUCGAUCUUGGCAAACAGACACAUCAAGGUACAGCCUCAAUGCCCAGUAUGCAAGCAAGGGGCGGAAGAUAUGCGACAUCUGAUGUUUACAUGUGAAAGAGCAAAAGAAGUAUGGAAGAAACUGGGGUUACAUGAAAUAAUAGGUGAAGUCAUUCAAAUUGACAGGUCAGGUAGUGUGAUCCUUGAAGAAUUACUAACGCAACCGGCGAGACAUUCACCUGUUCUUGGUAGGUUGGGAUUCCGGGAGUCUUUGGUCGUUCGGGCUUGGUAUAUAUGGUGGCAGCGACGAGAAUUUGUUAAGGGAAAAAAUGUCCAAAAUCCUUCAAAUACUGCAUUCGCUAUCCAAGCGAUCACAAGUAACUUUUCUCGAGCUGCGGAUCAGAAGAAACCGGAUAAAGUUAUGUGGGUGAAACCUCCAAUCAAUUCUUAUAAAUUAAAUGUUGACGCCGCUUUUUUUGAAGAUGGAACGGGUGCAGCUGCAGCAAUUCUUCGAAACAACCGAGGAGAGGCUCUUGCGGGAGCAUCCUGGUUGCUUCAUCAUCUCCUUGAUGCAACAACGGCGGAAGCAGUAGCUAUUCAGCGAGGACUAGAGUUGGUUGAAGGACUCGGCUGUCACCAGGUCAUUGUUGAAUCUGACUCAUUGGAAGUUAUUCAAGCAUGCAAUGGCGUGAUUGAGAUUUGGAGCCCCUAUACUGCUAUUUUGGCUGAUUGUUUUUAA